Long non-coding RNA from Prosopis cineraria, 972 nucleotides. RefSeq lists it as uncharacterized. NCBI's taxonomy places the organism in Eukaryota, Viridiplantae, Streptophyta, Magnoliopsida, Fabales, Fabaceae. The record is from RefSeq and is a predicted model, not a curated record. The transcript is spliced from 3 exons.
CACCGCACGUAUUCCUCUUCCUCCCCAAAUCGUUUCCGUUCAGAUCGCUCGCCCCAGGCUUCUUCCUCCCAAAAUCAAAAUCAUUCAAAGCGCGCGCACCAGGCUUUUUCCUCCCCAACUUGAAAGCUUUCAGGGCAUUUGCACCAGACCUGCGACAGCACCAGCAGGACAGCAAAGAGCGUUCAGACCAGAGACUUGCAGUGGUAGCAUCGGCAAGACGGUAACCCUCCGUGAUUUGCGAAUUUUGAAGGUUGAAGAGUGGCUAAUGUGUUGUUCUUGGAAUCACUAGUUGGAGUGGGCUUUUCCUACUUAAACACUUCGUCUGAUUAUGAUCAAGCAGGAGAUAAGUUUACAGCAAAAGAUGCCUAUGUGUUCCUCAUCAAUUGGCUUGAGAGAUUUCCACAAUACAAAUUCAGAGAUUUCUUGAUCAUUGGAGAGAGCUACGCUGGUCAUUAUCUGCCUCAACUUGCUUACACCAUUUUGGUCCAAAAUAUUUUCUCUGGACAAACCAUUAUCAACCUUAAAGGCAUUGCUGAACAAUAGACUGACAAAAACAAAAGGAAGGCUGAAUGGACAUUUACAAACAUAGAUUGACAAAAAACAAGAGGAAGGCUGAAAGCUGUCCAAUGAUGGAUGGAGAUUAAUUUGCUACUAAAUGCUGGUAGGGGCAGAUGAUUGUUGUCCAAUAAAGCAAAGCAAGUGCCAUCCAACAAAAAGAAUCAUACUAUGAAGUCAUGUGCUCCAAAAGAGGAGAUGGGGAUAUACCAUAAUGUCCAAAAAAUUGUGUAAUGCUUGUGAAUCCAAAAAAAUGGCCAGCAACCUAUCUUGCAUCUAUUUUAAUGUCCUGUAUGAAGAAGAAAUUGUAGCUAGUUAGGUUUAUGUAAUGUGAUGUCCAUAUGUGAUAAGACAAUCUAUGUAUACAAGUAGCAAAUGUACAAAAACUUUGAAAUGAAUGAAAGAUUAUUCCAUCUA